Molecule: non-coding RNA, 82 nt
Organism: Zophobas morio
Lineage: Eukaryota; Metazoa; Arthropoda; Insecta; Coleoptera; Tenebrionidae
Source: the annotation of a RefSeq genome assembly
GCGGCAGUAUGCAAGUCGUUAAGCAACUGCACUCGAAAUGCAGUGGGCUCUGCCCGCGCAGGUUCAAAUCCUGUCUGCCGCG